Molecule: ribosomal RNA, 1210 nt
Filed under: Staphylococcus aureus
Lineage: Bacteria; Bacillati; Bacillota; Bacilli; Caryophanales; Staphylococcaceae
Description: bacterial SSU rRNA
Rfam family: Bacterial small subunit ribosomal RNA
Source: RNAcentral
UUUAUGGAGAGUUUGAUCCUGGCUCAGGAUGAACGCUGGCGGCGUGCCUAAUACAUGCAAGUCGAGCGAACGGACGAGAAGCUUGCUUCUCUGAUGUUAGCGGCGGACGGGUGAGUAACACGUGGAUAACCUACCUAUAAGACUGGGAUAACUUCGGGAAACCGGAGCUAAUACCGGAUAAUAUUUUGAACCGCAUGGUUCAAAAGUGAAAGACGGUCUUGCUGUCACUUAUAGAUGGAUCCGCGCUGCAUUAGCUAGUUGGUAAGGUAACGGCUUACCAAGGCAACGAUGCAUAGCCGACCUGAGAGGGUGAUCGGCCACACUGGAACUGAGACACGGUCCAGACUCCUACGGGAGGCAGCAGUAGGGAAUCUUCCGCAAUGGGCGAAAGCCUGACGGAGCAACGCCGCGUGAGUGAUGAAGGUCUUCGGAUCGUAAAACUCUGUUAUUAGGGAAGAACAUAUGUGUAAGUAACUGUGCACAUCUUGACGGUACCUAAUCAGAAAGCCACGGCUAACUACGUGCCAGCAGCCGCGGUAAUACGUAGGUGGCAAGCGUUAUCCGGAAUUAUUGGGCGUAAAGCGCGCGUAGGCGGUUUUUUAAGUCUGAUGUGAAAGCCCACGGCUCAACCGUGGAGGGUCAUUGGAAACUGGAAAACUUGAGUGCAGAAGAGGAAAGUGGAAUUCCAUGUGUAGCGGUGAAAUGCGCAGAGAUAUGGAGGAACACCAGUGGCGAAGGCGACUUUCUGGUCUGUAACUGACGCUGAUGUGCGAAAGCGUGGGGAUCAAACAGGAUUAGAUACCCUGGUAGUCCACGCCGUAAACGAUGAGUGCUAAGUGUUAGGGGGUUUCCGCCCCUUAGUGCUGCAGCUAACGCAUUAAGCACUCCGCCUGGGGAGUACGACCGCAAGGUUGAAACUCAAAGGAAUUGACGGGGACCCGCACAAGCGGUGGAGCAUGUGGUUUAAUUCGAAGCAACGCGAAGAACCUUACCAAAUCUUGACAUCCUUUGACAACUCUAGAGAUAGAGCCUUCCCCUUCGGGGGACAAAGUGACAGGUGGUGCAUGGUUGUCGUCAGCUCGUGUCGUGAGAUGUUGGGUUAAGUCCCGCAACGAGCGCAACCCUUAAGCUUAGUUGCCAUCAUUAAGUUGGGCACUCUAAGUUGACUGCCGGUGACAAACCGGAGGAAGGUGGGGAUGACGUCAAAUCA